This 612-nucleotide ribosomal RNA is filed under the name Triticum aestivum (bread wheat). Its description in RNAcentral is "partial small subunit ribosomal RNA". Lineage: Eukaryota; Viridiplantae; Streptophyta; Magnoliopsida; Poales; Poaceae. The record is from RNAcentral.
AUGGUGGGCGCCUCGACGUCGUCGGUGGUGAACGUGUACCCGCUCGCCAACUACACGUUCGGCACCAAGGAGCCCAAGAUGGAGAAGGACACCUCCGUCGCCGACCGCCUUGCCCGCAUGAAGGUCAACUACAUGAAAGAAGGAAUGCGGACAAGUGUUGAAGCAAUCCUGCUGGUGCAAGAGCACAAUCACCCCCACAUACUGUUAUUGCAAAUUGGGAACACAUUUUGCAAACUUCCUGGUGGACGUUUGAAGCCUGGGGAAAAUGAAAUUGAGGGCCUGAAAAGAAAGUUGUGCAGCAAACUUGCAGUGAACUCACCUUCCUUUCCACCUAACUGGCAGGUUGGUGAGUGUGUUGCUGUUUGGUGGAGGCCAAACUUUGAAACCGUGAUGUAUCCUUAUUGCCCUCCACAUAUAACCAAGCCCAAGGAAUGCAAGAAGCUUUUCAUUGUUCAUCUAACUGAAAGAGAGUAUUUCGCUGUUCCAAGGAACUUGAAGCUACUUGCUGUUCCACUGUUUGAACUCUAUGACAAUGUUCAGCGGUAUGGACCUGUAAUUUCCACCAUCCCGCAGCAGCUGUCUAGGUUCCAAUUCAACAUGGUGAGCUCAUAA